This 576-nucleotide ribosomal RNA is filed under the name uncultured bacterium. Its description in RNAcentral is "bacterial SSU rRNA". It matches the Rfam family "Bacterial small subunit ribosomal RNA", at positions 102 to 674 of the family's 1533-position model. The record is from RNAcentral.
ACGGGUGAGUAAUACAUCGGAACGUAUCCUGGAGUGGGGGAUAGCCCGGCGAAAGCCGGAUUAAUACCGCAUACGCUCUGAGGAGGAAAGCGGGGGACCUUCGGGCCUCGCGCUCAAGGGGCGGCCGAUGGCGGAUUAGGUAGUUGGUGGGGUAAAGGCCUACCAAGCCGACGAUCCGUAGCUGGUCUGAGAGGACGACCAGCCACACUGGGACUGAGACACGGCCCAGACUCCUACGGGAGGCAGCAGUGGGGAAUUUUGGACAAUGGGGGCAACCCUGAUCCAGCAAUGCCGCGUGUGUGAAGAAGGCCUUCGGGUUGUAAAGCACUUUUGUCCGGAAAGAAAUCAUCGGGGCCAAUACCCCUGGUGGAUGACGGUACCGGAAGAAUAAGCACCGGCUAACUACGUGCCAGCAGCCGCGGUAAUACGUAGGGUGCGAGCGUUAAUCGGAAUUACUGGGCGUAAAGCGUGCGCAGGCGGUGCUGUAAGAUCGAUGUGAAAUCUCCGGGCUUAACCUGCGAACUGCAUUGGUGACUGCUGCGCUGGAGUAUGGCAGAGGGGGGUGGAAUUCCACGU